RNAcentral lists this transfer-messenger RNA (354 nucleotides) under Patescibacteria group. RNAcentral describes it as "WO2-FULL-39-10 sp001792345 Standard tmRNA". It matches the Rfam family "transfer-messenger RNA". From Rfam's summary of the family: Bacterial tmRNA, also known as 10Sa RNA or SsrA, is named for its dual tRNA and mRNA-like properties. The record is from RNAcentral. RNAcentral also lists the same sequence under 4 other names.
GGGGACGACCGGAUUCGACGGAGAGCGUACUUUAAAAACUGCGAGCCAAGUUUGACUUACACUUGUAAAAAGAAGUUAAAAAAAUAAUUGCUAAACCCAAUUAUAAUUUCGCAUACGCCUAAUAAGUGUUUUUGCGAAUGUUUGCUGUUUUGUUUCUCAACCGAAACAGACAAGCAUAAACCAGUUGGGAUGCGGUAAGUGCCACUGACUUUAGGUAUUUGCCAAAGAGUUAAAGUCAAGCCCCCAAUUACUUUGUUGGUUUGGCGAAUUGGGAGUCAUAAAAAAUCAACUAAGCUUGUAGAAGUUUUUAUCUUACCUUUUCGGACGAGGGUUCAACUCCCUCCGUCUCCACAA